AGAAGAUAUUGCUAUGUUAUAAUUAAAACAGCAAAGGUUCCACUCGAAUACAGAAUGAAACUCCUAGUAUUGUGCUUAAAUUUGGCAAUUUUAUGUAUAGUUUGUGAAUCGGAUGAACUUAAGCCAGAGUCUUCAGGCACCGAUCUUAUAAGCGAAAAUAGAUUCGAUGUUGAACCCAAAUCGAUUUCUAGACAAAAUGAUCCAGGCUUGAUAGGAAAGAAUCACAUUUCAUCAAUACCAGAAAUCAUGAAAGAAACAAAUCUAUAGCCAAAGCAAAGGCUUUGUUGAUUAAGAAAGUCAAAAUCCACAAGCAUAGAAAAGGUGGUAGAAAAUCAUCAAAUCAACUAAAACAGAAUGGUGAAACAAAGGCGAAUAUAGUAGAAGAAAUGUGUUGCUGUCAAAGAACUGUAGGAAAACCAGCAAGCUCUAAAAGGCCAACAAAAAAGAACCACAAACGAAUCUACAAUUUCAAGAGCGCCGUAAGACACCAAAAACGAGACGUCAAUACAUGUUGGUGCCGCCAAAUAGAUGACAAUGAUGGUGGUGUAAUAGACAAACCAAAUACAGAUUCGACAACCACAACCAGUUCAAGUUCGACUACAAAUACACCAACUACCACAGCAGUUCCUGAUUUUGGUACAAAACCUAUAACACCUUCGGAUGCACCAACUACACC
Ctenocephalides felis (cat flea) is the source of this 676-nucleotide long non-coding RNA. RefSeq lists it as uncharacterized. The transcript has 3 exons. The record is from RefSeq and is a predicted model, not a curated record. Lineage: Eukaryota; Metazoa; Arthropoda; Insecta; Siphonaptera; Pulicidae.